Molecule: long non-coding RNA, 877 nt
Organism: Chroicocephalus ridibundus (black-headed gull)
Lineage: Eukaryota; Metazoa; Chordata; Aves; Charadriiformes; Laridae
Exons: 3
Source: RefSeq, a predicted model, not a curated record
GCAGGGAACAUCAACGCCGUGCACAGGAUCUGCUCUGUAAUCCUUCUGCCAGCCCCUGCAGGGGAAAACACAGCCGUGGGCACGUGGAACCAGAACCUGCCCUUUGACGAGCGUUUCCCAUGAUGCAUGGACAUAACGUGUCCUACCACUGACACCUUGGCUCACUCCCCUCAGGCCACAAAGCACGUACCAAGACUGAGACGAAAAACACAACUCAUGAACUAUCUAGAAGUUUUGCUUCUGAUUGUGUGAGGGAUAUCAUCAAUGUGGCUGUCAUAAUAAAAAAAGAAGCCAUGCUGUACGAAUAACAGUUUUCCUCCGGUGCUCUGCCUGUUGCAGUGCCGUGCUUUGAGAAGGCAGUAAUUUUGUUCCACGUAGCCAAUGAAAAUGUAAAUGAGGAGGAGAUACUGCCCUUUCCUUUUGCACAGGUAUAAAUGAUUCUGUAAUAGAUAAAUCUCACAAAAAAUAUACCUGCUGACAGGGAAAAAAGUACCUAUGCUAUAAACAUCACAAUUUCCACUGCUUAAAAUGGAGAUUGUUUACAGCACAUUAUUAUGUCUUUGUUUGAAAGAUUACAUACUAUAUCUAAAGUUACUCUUUAAGUAUUCGCAAGACACUGUUGCAUUGAGCACAAUACCAAAUCUAAUUUUACCUUAGUCAUGGCAAUACAAAAUCAGAGAAAAUUCUUCACUUAUUCCAAGCAGAGGAAUUUAUGAAUGCUCAUUCAGCGGUUACACGAAAAAGUAGAGAGCAGAAUCCAGCAGGACUUUAAUCAGUUUCUUUUAUAUAUUCAGACAACCUACCUCAAAAGUAUAUUAUUUAUCAACACUAAAAAAGUGUAGAAACUAAUAAAGGAGGCUGAUGUUCUUUCUGUAAG